AGCUCCAAUAGCGUAUAUUAAAGUUGUUGCGGUUAAAAAGCUCGUAGUUGGAUCUCAGUUCACGUUAAGUGGUCCACUUGCCGGUGGUUACUACUUAGCUGAACAUUUUACAGACCUGUCUUGUGAUGCUCUUCACCGGGUGUCAUGAGCGAUCUGUACGUUUACUUUGAAAAAAUUAGAGUGCUUAAAGCAGGCGUAACGCCCGAAUAAUCUUGCAUGGAAUAAUGGAAUAGGACCUCGGUUCUAUUUUGUUGGUCUUCGGGACCUGAGGUAAUGAUUAAGAGGGACAGACGGGGGCAUUCGUAUUGCGGCGCUAGAGGUGAAAUUCUUGGACCGUCGCAAGACGAACUACAGCGAAAGCAUUUGCCAAGAAUGUUUUCAUUAAUCAAGAACGAAAGUA
Molecule: ribosomal RNA, 400 nt
Filed under: phytoplankton environmental sample
Lineage: Eukaryota
Description: partial small subunit ribosomal RNA
Rfam family: Eukaryotic small subunit ribosomal RNA
Source: RNAcentral